Molecule: long non-coding RNA, 2802 nt
Filed under: Sus scrofa (pig)
Lineage: Eukaryota; Metazoa; Chordata; Mammalia; Artiodactyla; Suidae
Description: lncRNA (ENSSSCG00050014454.1)
Source: RNAcentral
AUGAAGAAGGCUGUGCCUAACCAGAUAGUAAAAACAUAUCUUAAUGUUAUUAAAACAGCAGGGGACUGCUACAUAAAGCCAGAUCUAUGGGAAAGGAAGGAAAAUACAGAAUCAUACUUCAGUGUACAGCUCGCACACACGUACUGCAUUAACCCUGUACCAGAUUUUCACAGUGAAGAUUACAGCCGUGGCUUUCACCAAGCUGAAAAACAAGCUUUAACGGGAAGAUCCACACAAGACCCAACUUGAUGAGAAAGGUAAGGUGUUGCUAUGGCAAUUCCACUCGUUGGAACUUUUCUCUGUUGGCUUCAUUCUGACAGUAUAUUCUAAAAAGAAUUAUAUGAAAAGGUGUGGUGGCUGUGAAGACAUACUUGAAGCCAAGAAGACAGAACUCUCUCAUCUUUCUUUCUCCAAAAGAGACCAUGCUGUCAUCUUGGAAUGCCACCGAACGUAGUCAGAGGGCUGGCUGAGGAAGUGUCAUUCUGAGAUUUCAUUGAGCUCUGCGCUGUAUUUCUUUUUGGCUGAAGUGGAAAAUUGGCGAUGCCAGGGUUCUAAGCACAAUUACAACAUGAAGAAGGAUGCUUUGUCUACACCGAAAGACGAUAAGGCCUUGGCUCCUGCAAGAACGACGAUCUGCUUUGUUGUGGUGGGUGGUUGUGUGGCUUUGUUGUACUUUCAGCAGAGGUUUGAGGUAUUAAAAUAUCACUUGAAUCCAGGCAUUCAAAGGGAAUGAAUCCCAGGUCUGAGUGCCUCCGAUGGAGAAGAAGGAUUUAUUAAUUCACUUAAUGCCAUUUCUUUCCAAACAGACCUUCCUCUCGUAGGUUAUAAUCCAUCCAAUUGCUCAUAAAAACAACCUCACUUAGACUCUAAUUGUAGGCAUUGUGUCAAGCAUUUUUUUUCCCUGAUUAAUAUCACAUAAGCUCUUCACAAACAACUCUGUGAGGUAGAUACUAUUAUCAACUGCAUUUUGUACAUGAAUAAGGGGAAUUCAGAGAAAAUAUGGGCUAAGGUUGAUCAUCUGCAAAGGACAAAUAGAAGUUGAACCGAAAAGAUCUUAAUGUGUUAUUAAACGAAACUAACUGUGUCAAAAUUUGAUGGGGGAGAGGAAGCCUAAGAAAUUUACUAAUAAGCAGAAGAAACUGUGUUUUUGCUGUUCCUGUAAAAACAUCCCUUUCCAAGCUACAAAAUACAACCAAUCAGGCAAGACUGAGGAGGUGAUGUAUCAGAGAAUUGUUACCUUAAAAAAGGAUCCAUGUGCAAACUGAAUUCCACAAUAAUCAUCUAUUGAGCUCUGAGCAUAUGCUCUGAGCAUAAAAAGACCUCUAAAACCAGCUCCUACCCCAGAAGAUUUGAUAAAUUAUUGGAAAAACAGAAUUAACAAGUAAAGCAGGGAUUCCUCUAGUUAGAACUGAGCGUUAAGUGCAUGUAGUGAUAAGACAGAGGUUCUAAAUUAGCAGCCUGAUGGCUGAUGUUGGUCUCAGAUACACUUAAUUUGAACCAAAAAAUCUGAGUCUUCCUUUUUUUUUUUUUUUAUUGGCUGCUACGUGGAAGUUUCUGGGACAAGGAUGGAACCCACAUCACAGCUGUAACCAGAGCCGUGGCAGUAACAAUGCCAGAUCCUUAACCCACUGAGCCAUGAGGGAACUCCCGAAUCUUCUUAAACACACACACACACACACACACACACAAACGUGUAAGCACAAAGUUCCUAUAUCCCAUUUGGUGACAACUGGCUGAAGCUAACAGAAAGUUUCAGUUUCAUAGUGGUGUGUACUCACUAGUUUUCUGGAUUCCUCACCCCUACUCUUUUCCCCACACUGAAAUUCAAGGACAGUUGUCAAUUCUUAUAAGGCUAGUGUCCUUGCUUUUCUUAUACCUCUUUAUAUAUCUUACUUUCCUGGCCCCUACAGGCUUUCGAGGUUGUCACCAACUUGUAAGGACACCAAAAAGCAUUUGAGCUUCAUAUUAAUGAUAGGCAAGAACAAAAAGCCCAUCCUUCAGGAAGAACAGAGUAUUUCCUACCUUCUCUCUGCUUUCGUGGUAUGCUGUGGAUAGACUCAGACAGUCAAGAGAUAUGGAAUCGGAAUUGAAGUUGGCACUAUUACCGAGAUUUUCAGAGAGAUGAUUUAUUGCAGACCAAUUUUGAUUUCUCUAAACCUGGAGAGGACGUAGGUCAUGCAUUGCAAUGCCCAGGUGUGUGUGCGAUCAACAUUUGCCGACAAGCAGAUGUAAUUUACAGGCAGAGAAGAUGCCAGCUGAGGUGGUGGAGAACUGAGUAGAGGAAAUACAAUGGAGUAGAAGGCUAGCAUGAGGGAGGGAGGGAGAGAGAGGUACGGAAAGAGGGGAGAUUUUAAGAGGUGUGUGGUUAGAGCUCCUCAAACCCUUAUGCUUUACUCAGAUGCUUGGCCCUUUCUAGCGAUGCAUCCAGCAGCUUCUGAUGAAAUGGACCAUGACAUGUUUUUCUUGGCUCUUCCUUUUAUCUCUCCCUGGAAUGGUUCUUUCUCUGCAAACCUUCAAUUCAUCUGAUUCUCUCUUACAUUUCAACUCCUCGUUCAGGAGGCUCAUUUUACCACUAAACUUUCUGUUGCCCUUUAGAAAAGGAAAGAAUUUCUCCCUUUAUGCCACAAAGACCUUGAGUAGGUUUCCUUCAUUAUUAGACUUAUGACAUCGCUUUGAAAGUAUGUGCUCCAUCUUCCCUACAGAGUAUGAAUUCUUGGGAAGGUGCCCAUGUUUUACUUAACUCUGUAUCGCUGUUUCCCAGCUUGGUGUAAUAAAUAUUUGUUAAAUACAUGAAUAAAUACA